Molecule: ribosomal RNA, 464 nt
Filed under: uncultured bacterium
Lineage: Bacteria
Description: bacterial SSU rRNA
Rfam family: Bacterial small subunit ribosomal RNA
Source: RNAcentral
GGAGGAAGCAGGGGAUCGCAAGACCUUGCGCUUUUGGAGCGGCCGAUGCCUGAUUAGCUUGUUGGUAAGGUAAAAGCUUACCAAGGCUUCGAUCAGUAGCUGGUCUGAGAGGACGGCCAGCCACACUGGGACUGAGACACGGCCCAGACUCCUACGGGAGGCAGCAGUGGGGAAUUUUGGACAAUGGGGGCAACCCUGAUCCAGCCAUGCCGCGUGAGUGAAGAAGGCCUUCGGGUUGUAAAGCUCUUUCAGCCGGAACGAAACGGUUACGGUUAAUACCCGUGACUAAUGACGGUACCGGAAGAAGAAGCACCGGCUAACUACGUGCCGGCAGCCGCGGUAAUACGUAGGGUGCGAGCGUUAAUCGGAAUUACUGGGCGUAAAGCGUGCGCAGGUGGUUUUGUAAGUCAGGUGUGAAAUCCCCGGGCUCAACCUGGGAACUGCGUUUGAAACUACAAAGCUAG